This 245-nucleotide ribosomal RNA is filed under the name uncultured Lactobacillus sp. RNAcentral describes it as "partial 16S ribosomal RNA". It matches the Rfam family "Bacterial small subunit ribosomal RNA", at positions 118 to 354 of the family's 1533-position model. The record is from RNAcentral. Lineage: Bacteria; Bacillati; Bacillota; Bacilli; Lactobacillales; Lactobacillaceae.
UGGGGAACCUGCCCCAUAGUCUGGGAUACCACUUGGAAACAGGUGCUAAUACCGGAUAAGAAAGCGGAUCGCAUGAUCAGCUUUUAAAAGGCGGCGUAAGCUGUCGCUAUGGGAUGGCCCCGCGGUGCAUUAGCUAGUUGGUAAGGUAAAGGCUUACCAAGGCGAUGAUGCAUAGCCGAGUUGAGAGACUGAUCGGCCACAUUGGGACUGAGACACGGCCCAAACUCCUACGGGAGGCAGCAGAC